UUCGUCGAUCUGGCCUUUUGGCUAAGAUCAAGCACAGUAUCUGUUCUUAUCAGUUUAAUAUCUGAUAUGUCCUUUCUUUGAGGACUGUAUAUUAAAUUGAUUUUUGGAACAGGGGGAUGGAAUACGAGCUUGCUCUGUCCACCCCAUGCAUCAACCUGGUAUUGCAGUACCUCCAGGAAACUCCCU
This 186-nucleotide small nuclear RNA is filed under the name Chelydra serpentina (North American snapping turtle). RNAcentral describes it as "U2 spliceosomal RNA (ENSCSRG00000017177.1)". It matches the Rfam family "U2 spliceosomal RNA". Rfam says of the family: U2 is a small nuclear RNA (snRNA) component of the spliceosome (involved in pre-mRNA splicing). Complementary binding between U2 snRNA (in an area lying towards the 5' end but 3' to hairpin I) and the branchpoint sequence (BPS) of the intron results the bulging out of an unpaired adenosine, on the BPS, which initiates a nucleophilic attack at the intronic 5' splice site, thus starting the first of two transesterification reactions that mediate splicing. The record is from Rfam by way of RNAcentral. Lineage: Eukaryota; Metazoa; Chordata; Testudines; Chelydridae.